UAUAAAACAUUUUUUUUAGAUGUAUGAAUUGUGAUAUUUAGAAAACAUGAAACCAGCAGAGGGAAUAUCUGUUUAAGUUAAGUUCUGAUGACACACUUUGGUCUCCUCUUCAAGCGUACAAACUCAGCAGAUGUUUGCAAGAAAUAUUUUCACAGGAACAAACAUGAUGAUUAAUCUUUGAGAGAUAUCAGGAAGUCUCCCAUAGCAUAAUGUGAAUGACAGAAGAAAUCAUAAUUGAACUGAUGAAUUAUGAGUUGAAUUUAAAGGAACAAGAAAUGCGUUUCAUAAGAAAUCAAAUGAUCGACUUUCGUAAUUGCCCAAAAUAAUAAAUCAUACUAACUAGCAAGCAAGAAAUCUGUGUAAUUAUCCAGAAACUAUGUAUCAAACCAAACUGUCGCUAUUCUUCAAAACAAUGAUAUCUCUCAAGGCUUAUGCAAAACAACAAUGCAUUUCAUCUAUCUAAAGGCCUUUUUACAUACACAAACACAGCGUCACUUAUUUGACUGAUGUGUGUAAAAGGAAAAACAGCAUGGGUAUAAUUCAUAAUUCAAGGAUUUCUCUUAAAGAGCCAUCAUUCCAGGUCACUACUGCAUCACAUGACUUAAUAUUGUGCUCAAUUUGAAUCUCAGUUCUGAAUACCUAAGCAAAAAAAAAAAAAAAGCCUACUUUUUUUGCAUAAA
This is a long non-coding RNA of Sinocyclocheilus rhinocerous, 680 nucleotides long. RefSeq lists it as uncharacterized. NCBI's taxonomy places the organism in Eukaryota, Metazoa, Chordata, Actinopteri, Cypriniformes, Cyprinidae. The transcript is spliced from 3 exons. The record is from RefSeq and is a predicted model, not a curated record.